RNAcentral lists this microRNA precursor (78 nucleotides) under Operophtera brumata (winter moth). RNAcentral's name for it is "mir-2767 microRNA precursor family". It matches the Rfam family "mir-2767 microRNA precursor family". The record is from Rfam by way of RNAcentral. Lineage: Eukaryota; Metazoa; Arthropoda; Insecta; Lepidoptera; Geometridae.
UUCGUCUGUCGUUCUAAGUAAAUCUCGUGCGGCUUGUCUCUACCAAGCCGUACGAGAUUUACUUGGACUGAUGGGUGA